AUUUCUAAUCAAGUUUUUAUUCUAUAUGGCCUUAGGAAAAGAAGAAACUAUGGUCUGUGGUCACAUAAAACAGCUUCCAGAGUGACUUUAAAUCUCUGCAUUUCCCAGGCCUGAGACUCAGCACGGAGCAUCCAAGGCACUCCUAGUCUGUUGAGGCACAGCCUCCACUGUGAGUCCUCCCCCUAUUUCCAUACUCACAUGAUUGAGUGUCUCUCUCAACUUGUCUGCUGGGGACCCUCUGGGGAUGGAUCCUGUGCUUGACUUUCAUGCUGUUCGUCUGAAGCUCUGAAACACUUCCUACCACUUCACAUCUCUUCUUUGGGGGGCAGGCCCUGCACCAACCAGCCAGAAGCUUUUUUUUAAAACCACAUGUUGUCAUGACAAUUGGCCACUUGAUUUCAAACUGACUUCACAGCACAAACGUGACUAUUUCCUGAGGAACAAGAAUACUGAUUUGUCCCCUGAACUGAAAAGGGAUGCCAUGUGUGUGGUCUCUA
This 497-nucleotide long non-coding RNA is filed under the name Canis lupus familiaris (dog). Its description in RNAcentral is "lncRNA (ENSCAFG00845023064.1)". Lineage: Eukaryota; Metazoa; Chordata; Mammalia; Carnivora; Canidae. The record is from RNAcentral.